RNAcentral lists this ribosomal RNA (467 nucleotides) under uncultured bacterium. Its description in RNAcentral is "partial 16S ribosomal RNA". It matches the Rfam family "Bacterial small subunit ribosomal RNA", at positions 28 to 506 of the family's 1533-position model. The record is from RNAcentral.
GACGAACGCUGGCGGCGUGCUUAACACAUGCAAGUCGAGCGGAAAGGCCCUGCUUUUGUGGGGUGCUCGAGUGGCGAACGGGUGAGUAACACGUGAGUAACCUGCCCUUGACUUUGGGAUAACUUCAGGAAACUGGGGCUAAUACCGGAUAGGAGCUCCUGCUGCAUGGUGGGGGUUGGAAAGUUUCGGCGGUUGGGGAUGGACUCGCGGCUUAUCAGCUUGUUGGUGGGGUAGUGGCUUACCAAGGCUUUGACGGGUAGCCGGCCUGAGAGGGUGACCGGCCACAUGGGGACUGAGAUACGGCCCAGACUCCUACGGGAGGCAGCAGUGGGGAAUAUUGCACAAUGGGCGGAAGCCUGAUGCAGCAACGCCGCGUGCGGGAUGACGGCCUUCGGGUUGUAAACCGCUUUCGCCUGUGACGAAGCGUGAGUGACGGUAAUGGGGAAAGAAGCACCGGCUAACUACGU